GGCCUUGACAUACUAAGAACUUUCCAGAGAUUGGAUUGGUGCCUUCGGGAACUUAGAUACAGGUGCUGCAUGGCUGUCGUCAGCUCGUGUCGUGAGAUGUUGGGUUAAGUCCCGNAACGAGCGCAACCCUUUUCCUUAUUUGCCAGCGGGUCAUGCCGGGAACUUUAAGGAUACUGCCAGUGACAAACUGGAGGAAGGCGGGGACGACGUCAAGUCAUCAUGGCCCUUACGGCCAGGGCUACACACGUGCUACAAUGGUCGGUACAAAGGGUUGCUACCUCGCGAGAGGAUGCUAAUCUCAAAAAGCCGAUCGUAGUCCGGAUCGCAGUCUGCAACUCGACUGCGUGAAGUCGGAAUCGCUAGUAAUCGCGGAUCAGAAUGCCGCGGUGAAUACGUUCCCGGGCCUUGUACACACCGCCCGUCACACCAUGGGAGUUUGUUGCACCAGAAGUAGGUAGUCUAACCGCAAGGAGGACGCUUACCACGGUGUGGCCGAUGACUGGGGUGAAGUCGUAACAAGGUAGGCGUAGAUGA
RNAcentral lists this ribosomal RNA (534 nucleotides) under uncultured bacterium. RNAcentral describes it as "bacterial SSU rRNA". It matches the Rfam family "Bacterial small subunit ribosomal RNA", at positions 977 to 1509 of the family's 1533-position model. The record is from RNAcentral.